Molecule: long non-coding RNA, 1840 nt
Filed under: Triticum aestivum (bread wheat)
Lineage: Eukaryota; Viridiplantae; Streptophyta; Magnoliopsida; Poales; Poaceae
Description: long non-coding RNA (TAES_LNC015664)
Source: RNAcentral
CCAUGUUUUACUGCACGUAAGAUUACAUAGUUUGAAUGCACAAAAAGUCUCAACAUAGAACACAGAUAGUACAAUCAUUGUAAAAGAGGGCAUGCACCAACAGCCUAACACAACAAUCUGGAAAUCACAAACAUCAAUCAUGAUACAAAUUAAUGACAGCCCCCACAAAGUUAAACAGUAAAUGCUGUUGCAGCAUCUGCUGCUGGCAACCAUACACAUAGCUAGAGUCACUAAAUUAACUGGAACAGAUGGCCACAUAAAGUGCAAAAAAGAGGUUAGAGAGUACACUCGGCAACAGAAGAGAAGUAACACAACAUCAGAAAGAUUUAACCAAACAGCUGCUGUUAUUACUUGGGACCUAUGAUUCACCAUUAUCUAAAAGGUCAACAAUGGAACAGCAAAAUGCGAGCCAGAUUAUCAGUGCCAAUCUGCCAAUGCCUCCGAGUACAAGGGAACAUAAGGAAGAUAGGGCUCCAUGGAACCCUGUCCAAGAUCAUUGAUGAAAUGCACUUUCCCACUAUCAAUUUCGUAAGACAUCAGUACCUUGUCAUGCCCAUAAACCAGGAAAUUUGUGUUUUGUCGUGGGUGGAGGGUGACAAUAUGGUACUCAUGUCCCAGCCGGACAUUCUUCACAUAGAUUCACAUACCUGAUACUGUGCUCCAAGACCCACGCUUCACUGCCUUAGUCCUCGAGAACCCAGAUCGACAGUUUAUAAAGAUCAUGCUGAUCACUAUUUGCCAGAUACAAGCGCCCUCGAGACAGGUCAAUGAACCCGACAUCAACUUCCAUUAUUGGGGCGUCCUCAUCGUCUGGCAUAGGAAUAGCCCUCCAAGUAGUUCCCUCCACGUCCAGUGCCACCACCUCAGACUCGACGGCAACCAAAUGCAGAAAACCAUUGACAAAGACACUUCUAGAAUCACUCACAAUCGACACACGCCUUGGAUUUUCGACGCAUAUAUUUCAUUAUACUGUAAUAUAAUACCCAUUUGCACCUGAACUCACAAUCUGCAAAGUAUGUUAUUUAAUACCCAUUUGGACCUGAGGCAUCAGCGGGGACAGACAACAGUUAAAAGCAUCCAUCGGCAAGGUAUCCUCUUUCAGUAGGGUGGUGGUUAGAGUUGAAUAAACACAUGAAGAUCAGGCAUUGCAGCUAAAUACAGCAGGAAGUGAAACAGGCAAUUUUCUAGAUCAAAUCGACCAAAGGUUAGUUUCAGACUUGGGAUCGGAUCCGACGCUGGAACUGAAUACGACAUGGAGUGAAUCAAGCAGUUUUAUUGAUGGAAUCAAUAAAAUUUUACUUAUGAUGCUCUAAACUCCAGACUAAACAACAUCUAACAGUCUAACAGAAAAGAAUAGCUUUGCUUCACUAGUGCUGAUCAUUUCAACAUUGGCAGGAGCAAAGGAACAUAAACUCCCAUGCUCUACUGUUCACUACAAUGACGAGAGGAAUAAAACAUAUAUUCCCUCCCAUGUUUCACUGCACAUACGAUUACAUAGUUUGAAUGCACAAUAAGUUUCAACAUAGAUUAAAACAGGGCGUAUGCCUACGGCCCAACACAACAAUCUGGACAUAACAAACAUCAAUCAUGAUACAAAUUAAUGAUAGCCCCAUGAACUCAUAAAGUAAAGAUUGACUCGAAUGCUGCUAGCAAAACAUAAACAUAUAUGUUUAGUGGAGCAGGUACCGUUAUUAAGUUAACUGGAAUAGAUAGCCCCAUAAAGUGAGGUUACAAGAUACACUCGACAACAAAAGAGAAGUAACACAAUACUUGGGACCUAUGAUUCAACAUUAUCUGAAAGGUCAAGAAUAGAACAGUGAUAUGCAAGGCAGACUAUCAG